Non-coding RNA from Vicia faba (fava bean), 213 nucleotides. Lineage: Eukaryota; Viridiplantae; Streptophyta; Magnoliopsida; Fabales; Fabaceae. The record is from the annotation of a GenBank genome assembly.
AUGAUGUUUGGCAGUACGAGAUUAUCCUUUCUAACAACAUAUUAUAGGUCGAUUAUCAUUUUCAACUUUAACAAGGAACCUUACAAAAAUUGGAUUCCACAUAGGCAAACCGAGGUUUUCUUACAUGAGACAUACGUACCUUGUUCAGAAACUUUCAAGACAUCAAAUCACUCGCAAAUUGUAAAUAUUAAAUAUACAAUAGCAAAUGCUUAA